This 525-nucleotide ribosomal RNA is filed under the name Capoeta tinca (Anatolian khramulya). RNAcentral describes it as "partial 16S ribosomal RNA". It matches the Rfam family "Bacterial large subunit ribosomal RNA", at positions 1578 to 2327 of the family's 2925-position model. Lineage: Eukaryota; Metazoa; Chordata; Actinopteri; Cypriniformes; Cyprinidae. The record is from RNAcentral.
UAACGAACUCAACCCAAGAGAGCAAUGUGAACUAGAAGUAUAAACAAGAAGAACCCACAACUAGACCAUCGUUACCCCCACACUGGAGUGCCAUCAGAGGAAAGACUAAAAGAAAGGGAAGGAACUCGGCAAACACAAGCCUCGCCUGUUUACCAAAAACAUCGCCUCCUGCAACGCAGCCAAGUAUAGGAGGUCCAGCCUGCCCAGUGACUACAAGUUCAACGGCCGCGGUAUUUUGACCGUGCAAAGGUAGCGCAAUCACUUGUCUUUUAAAUAGAGACCUGUAUGAAUGGCUAAACGAGGGCUUAACUGUCUCCCCUUUCAAGUCAGUGAAAUUGAUCUACCCGUGCAGAAGCGGGUAUAAUUAUACAAGACGAGAAGACCCUUUGGAGCUUAAGGUACAAAACUCAACCACGUUAAGCAACUCAGUAAAAAGCAAAAACUUUAUGGGAUAUGAUAUUUUACCUUCGGUUGGGGCGACCACGGAAGAAAAAAGAUCCUCCGAGUGGACCGGGAUAAACCUCC